RNAcentral lists this ribosomal RNA (235 nucleotides) under uncultured Glomus. RNAcentral describes it as "partial 18S ribosomal RNA". It matches the Rfam family "Eukaryotic small subunit ribosomal RNA", at positions 548 to 785 of the family's 1831-position model. Lineage: Eukaryota; Fungi; Glomeromycota; Glomeromycetes; Glomerales; Glomeraceae. The record is from RNAcentral.
UUGGAGGGCAAGUCUGGUGCCAGCAGCCGCGGUAAUUCCAGCUCCAAUAGCGUAUAUUAAAGUUGUUGCAGUUAAAAAGCUCGUAGUUGAAUUUCGGGAUCAGUACGCUGGUCGUGCCUUCGGUAUGCACUGGUGUCACUGGUUCCUACCUUCUGAAGAACCGUCAUGCCAUUCAGUUGGUGUGGCGGGCAAUCAGGACUGUUACUUUGAAAAAAUUAGAGUGUUUAAAGCAGGC